CCUACGGGAGGCAGCAGUGAGGAAUAUUGGUCAAUGGGCGAGAGUCUGAACCAGCCAAGUCGCGUGAAGGAUGACUGCCCUAUGGGUUGUAAACUUCUUUUGUAUGGGAGUAAAGUGUUCCACGUGUGGGAUUUUGUAUGUAACAUAUGAAUAAGGCUCGGCUAACUCCGUGCCAGGAGCCGCGGUAAUACCGAGGGUCCGAGCGUUAUCCGGAUUUAUUGGGGUUAAAGGGAGCGCAGGUGGAUUGUUAAGUCAGUUGGGAAAGUGUGCGGCUCAACCGUGAAAUGGCCGUUGAAACUGGCAGUCUUGAGUACAGUAGAGGUGGGCGGAAUGCGUGGUGUAGCGGUGAAAUGCUUAGAUAUCACGAAGAACUCCGAUUGCGAAGGCAGCUCACUGGACUGCAACUGACACUGAGGCUCGAAAGCGUGGGUAUCAAACAGGAUUAGAUACCCCAGUAGUC
This 460-nucleotide ribosomal RNA is filed under the name uncultured bacterium. Its description in RNAcentral is "partial 16S ribosomal RNA". It matches the Rfam family "Bacterial small subunit ribosomal RNA", at positions 338 to 795 of the family's 1533-position model. The record is from RNAcentral.